Molecule: ribosomal RNA, 1316 nt
Filed under: human gut metagenome
Description: bacterial LSU rRNA
Rfam family: Bacterial large subunit ribosomal RNA
Source: RNAcentral
GCUUAGAAGCAGCCACUCAUUAAAAGAGUGCGUAAUAGCUCACUGGUCGAGUGACUCUGCGCCGAAAAUUUAACGGGGCUAAACUAUACACCGAAGCUUGGGAUACAUCUAAUGUAUGGUAGGAGAGCGUUCUGUAUGGGGAGAAGUCGUAGCGAAAGCGGCGGUGGACUAUACAGAAGUGAGAAUGCCGGAAUAAGUAGCGAGAAUUAAGUGAGAAUCUUAAUGGCCGAAAGUCUAAGGUUUUUGGAGGAAGGUUCGUCCGCUCCAAGUAAGUCGGGAGCUAAGGUGAGGCCUAACGGCGUAGCCGAUGCACAUACGGUAGAUAUUCCGUAACCACCGAAAGAUUUAAACACAGGGACACCUUGAAAGGGCAUAUCCCGGGAGUUGGUUUACCCGGGCGUAAGGGAUCGAAAUUUGAGUAGAGAAGUAUGUUUGGACGAGGGCGAGAAAAGCUGUGUGUAUAUUUUAGGUGCCCGUACCGCAAACCGACACAGGUGGACAGGAAGAGGAUUCUAAGGCCAACGGGAGAAGGGUAGUUAAGGAACUCGGCAAAUUGACCCCGUAACUUCGGAAUAAGGGGCGGUGCGUAAGCACCCGCAGUGAAUAGGUCCAGGCGACUGUUUAUCAAAAACACAGCUCUCUGCUAAAUCGAAAGAUGACGUAUAGGGGGUGACGCCUGCCCGGUGCUGGAAGGUUAAGGGGAGUGCUUAGCGCAAGCGAAGGUGCGAACUUAAGCCCCAGUAAACGGCGGCCGUAACUAUAACGGUCCUAAGGUAGCGAAAUUCCUUGUCGGGUAAGUUCCGACCCGCACGAAUGGUGUAACGAUCUGGGCACUGUCUCAACUACCCACCCGGCGAAAUUGUAGUACCGGUGAAGAUGCCGGUUACCUGCGGCAAGACGGAAAGACCCCAUGGAGCUUUACUGUAGCCUGAUAUUGGGUUUCGGAAAUCUAUGUACAGGAUAGGCGGGAGACUGGGAAACAUGAGCGUCAGCUUGUGUGGAGUCGAUGUUGGGAUACCGCCCUUAGGUUUCUGGAAUUCUAACCUGCGGCCGUGAAUCCGGUCGGGGGACAUUGUCAGGUGGGCAGUUUGACUGGGGCGGUCGCCUCCGAAAAGGUAACGGAGGCGCUCAAAGGUUAGCUCAGCACGGACGGAAACCGUGCCUCUGAGUGUAAACGCAAAAGCUAGCCUAACUGCGAGGGUGACGGCCCGAGCAGUAACGAAAGUUGGAGUUAGUGAUCCGGCGGUAUGUGAAUGGAAAUGCCGUCGCUCAACGGAUAAAAGCUACCCUGGGGAUAACAGGCUGAUCUCCCCCAA